CCUACGGGGGGCAGCAGUGGGGAAUAUUGGACAAUGGGGGGAACCCUGAUCCAGCCAUGCCGCGUGUGUGAAGAAGGCCCUCGGGUUGUAAAGCACUUUCAGUGAGGAAGAACGCCUGGUGGUUAAUACCCAUCAGGAAAGACAUCACUCACAGCAGAAGCACCGGCUAACUCCGUGCCAGCAGCCGCGGUAAUACGGAGGGUGCGAGCGUUAAUCGGAAUUACUGGGCGUAAAGCGCGCGUAGGUGGCUUGAUAAGCCGGUUGUGAAAGCCCCGGGCUCAACCUGGGAACGGCAUCCGGAACUGUCAAGCUAGAGUGCAGGAGAGGAAGGUAGAAUUCCCGGUGUAGCGGUGAAAUGCGUAGAGAUCGGGAGGAAUACCAGUGGCGAAGGCGGCCUUCUGGACUGACACUGACACUGAGGUGCGAAAGCGUGGGUAGCAAACAGGAUUAGAUACCCGAGUAGUC
RNAcentral lists this ribosomal RNA (465 nucleotides) under Vreelandella stevensii. Its description in RNAcentral is "partial 16S ribosomal RNA". It matches the Rfam family "Bacterial small subunit ribosomal RNA", at positions 338 to 795 of the family's 1533-position model. Lineage: Bacteria; Pseudomonadati; Pseudomonadota; Gammaproteobacteria; Oceanospirillales; Halomonadaceae. The record is from RNAcentral.